This 1260-nucleotide ribosomal RNA is filed under the name metagenome. RNAcentral's name for it is "bacterial LSU rRNA". It matches the Rfam family "Bacterial large subunit ribosomal RNA", at positions 1649 to 2925 of the family's 2925-position model. The record is from RNAcentral.
UAAACCGACACAGGUGGAUGAGGAGAGAAUCCUAAGGCCGACGGGAGAAGCAUUGUUAAGGAACUCGGCAAAAUGACUCCGUAACUUCGGGAGAAGGAGUGCCAGCGAGAGCUGGCCGCAGAGAAUUGGCCCAAGCAACUGUUUAGCAAAAACACAGGUCUAUGCAAAACCGUAAGGUGAAGUAUAUGGGCUGACGCCUGCCCGGUGCUGGAAGGUUAAGAGGAGAGGUUAGCGGCAACGCGAAGCUUUGAAUUUAAGCCCCAGUAAACGGCGGCCGUAACUAUAACGGUCCUAAGGUAGCGAAAUUCCUUGUCGGGUAAGUUCCGACCCGCACGAAAGGCGUAAUGAUUUGGGCACUGUCUCAACAAUGCACCCGGUGGAAUUGAAAUACCAGUGAAGAUGCUGGUUACCUGCGCCAGGACGGAAAGACCCCAUGGAGCUUUACUCCAGCUUGAUACUGGGAUUCGGUAUUGCAUGUACAGGAUAGGUGGGAGGCUAGGAAGUGAUAACGCCAGUUGUCACGGAGCCGCUGUUGGGAUACCACCCUUGCAGUAUUGGAUUUCUAACCAGCGACCAUGAACUGGUCGGGGGACAAUGUCAGGUGGGGGGUUUGACUGGGGCGGUCGCCUCCGAAAGGGUAUCGGAGGCGCUCAAAGGUUCCCUCAGAAUGGACGGAAACCAUUCGAAGAGUGCAAAGGCAGAAGGGAGCUUGACUGCGACACCGACGGGUGGAGCAGGUACGAAAGUAGGACUUAGUGAUCCGGUGGUAUAAAGUGGGAUUGCCAUCGCUCAACGGAUAAAAGCUACCCUGGGAUAACAGGCUUAUCACUCCCAAGAGUUCACAUCGACGGAGUGGUUUGGCACCUCGAUGUCGGCUCAUCGCAUCCUGGGGCUGAAGUAGGUCCCAAGGGUUGGGCUGUUCGCCCAUUAAAGCGGUACGCGAGCUGGGUUCAGAACGUCGUGAGACAGUUCGGUCCCUAUCCGGCGUGGGCGUAGGAUAUUUGAGAGGAGCUGUCCUUAGUACGAGAGGACCGGGAUGGACUGGCCGCUGGUGUAUCUGUUGCAUACCAAAUGCAUGGCAGAGUAGCCAAGCCGGGACGGGAUAAACGCUGAAGGCAUCUAAGCGUGAAGCCCCCCUCAAGAUGAGAUAUCCCUACGUAAGUAGUAAGACCCCUUGAAGACGACGAGGUAGAUAGGUCAGAGGUGGAAGUACAGUAAUGUAUGGAGCUGACUGAUACUAAUCGGUCGAGGGCAUGACCU